CCCUUAGAUGUUCUGGGCCGCACGCGUGCUACACUGAACGGUUCAAUGGGUAAGGUAGUGCGAAAGCAUGACCUAAUCUCGAAAUCCGUUCGUGCUGGGGAUAGAAGCUUGCAAUUAUCCUUCUUGAACGAGGAAUACCUUGUAAGCGUGAGUCAUCAUCUCACGCUGAAUACGUCCCUGCCCUUUGUACACACCGCCCGUCGCUCCUACCGAUUGAGUGUUCCGGUGGGGCUUUGGGAGAAUGGCCUCAACAUGAGUUUAUCGUGUUUUGCCGUUUGAACUUAGUCAAACCUUAUCACUUAGAGGAAGGAGAAGUCGUAACA
This 323-nucleotide ribosomal RNA is filed under the name uncultured eukaryote. RNAcentral's name for it is "partial 18S ribosomal RNA". It matches the Rfam family "Eukaryotic small subunit ribosomal RNA", at positions 1470 to 1796 of the family's 1831-position model. The record is from RNAcentral.